Molecule: transfer RNA, 102 nt
Filed under: Staphylothermus marinus F1
Lineage: Archaea; Thermoproteati; Thermoproteota; Thermoprotei; Desulfurococcales; Desulfurococcaceae
Rfam family: tRNA
About the family: Transfer RNA (tRNA) molecules are approximately 80 nucleotides in length. Their secondary structure includes four short double-helical elements and three loops (D, anti-codon, and T loops).
Source: Rfam by way of RNAcentral
GCCGCCGUAGCUCAGCUCGGUAGAGCGCCGGCCUCGUAUCGGGUACUUGAUUACCGGAGUCGGGAAAGCCGGUGGUCGCGGGUUCAAAUCCCGCCGGCGGCU